This 200-nucleotide ribosomal RNA is filed under the name uncultured prokaryote. Its description in RNAcentral is "partial 16S ribosomal RNA". It matches the Rfam family "Bacterial small subunit ribosomal RNA", at positions 1183 to 1382 of the family's 1533-position model. The record is from RNAcentral.
CGUCAAGUCCUCAUGGCCCUUACGUUCCGGGCUACACACGUGCUACAAUGGUCGGUACAAAGGGUUGCCAACCUGUGAGGGGGAGCUAAUCCCCGAAAACCGAUCCCAGUUCGGAUUGCAGUCUGCAACUCGACUGCAUGAAGUUGGAAUCGCUAGUAAUCGCGGAUCAGCAUGCCGCGGUGAAUACGUUCCCGGGCCUU